UCAGUCGACUCCUACGGGGAAGCAGCAGUGGGGGAAUAUUGCACAAUGGGCGCAAGCCUGAUGCAGCCAUGCCGCGUGUAUGAAGAAGGCCUUCGGGUUGUAAAGUACUUUCAGCAGUGAGGAAGGCAGGUACGUUAAUAGCGUGCUUGUUUGACGUUAGCUGCAGAAGAAGCACCGGCUAACUCCGUGCCAGCAGCCGCGGUAAUACGGAGGGUGCGAGCGUUAAUCGGAAUUACUGGGCGUAAAGCGCAUGCAGGUGGUUUGUUAAGUCAGAUGUGAAAGCCCGGGGCUCAACCUCGGAAUUGCAUUUGUAAACUGGCAGACUAGAGUACUGUAGAGGGGGGUAGGAAUUUCAGGUGUAGCGGUGAAAUGCGUAGAGAUCUGAAGGAAUACCGGUGGCGAAGGCGGCCCCCUGGACAGAUACUGACACUCAGAUGCGAAAGCGUGGGGAGCAAACAGGAUUAGAUACCCUGGUAG
Molecule: ribosomal RNA, 477 nt
Filed under: uncultured bacterium
Lineage: Bacteria
Description: bacterial SSU rRNA
Rfam family: Bacterial small subunit ribosomal RNA
Source: RNAcentral